Molecule: ribosomal RNA, 1506 nt
Filed under: uncultured bacterium
Lineage: Bacteria
Description: partial 16S ribosomal RNA
Rfam family: Bacterial small subunit ribosomal RNA
Source: RNAcentral
AGAGUUUGAUCCUGGCUCAGAUUGAACGCUGGCGGCAUGCUUUACACAUGCAAGUCGAACGGGGUGCGGGGGCAACUUCGCAUUCAGUGGCGAACGGGUGAGUAAUAUAUCGGAACGUACCCUGUAGCGGGGGAUAACGCGUCGAAAGAUGUGCUAAUACCGCAUACGCUCUACUGAGGAAAGCGGAGGACCGCAAGGCUUCGCACUACAGGAGCGGCCGAUACCGGAUUAGCUAGUUGGCGGGGUAAUGGCCCACCAAGGCAACGAUCCGUAGCUGGUCUGAGAGGACGAUCAGCCACACUGGAACUGACACACGGUCCAGACUCCUACGGGAGGCAGCAGUGGGGAAUUUUGGACAAUGGGCGCAAGCCUGAUCCAGCCAUGCCGCGUGAGUGAAGAAGGCCUUCGGGUUGUAAAGCUCUUUCGGCGGGGACGAAACGGUUCGUGCCAAUACCACGGACUAAUGACGGUACCCGAAGAAGAAGCACCGGCUAACUACGUGCCAGCAGCCGCGGUAAUACGUAGGGUGCAGGCGUUAAUCGGAAUUACUGGGCGUAAAGCGUGCGCAGGCGGUUUGUUAAGACAGGUGUGAAAUCCCCGGGCUUAACCUGGGAACUGCGCUUGUAACUGGCAGACUCGAGUGUGGCAGAGGGGGGUGGAAUUCCAGGUGUAGCAGUGAAAUGCGUAGAGAUCGUGAGGAAGACCAGUGGCGAAGGCGGGUCUCUGGACAGUUCCUGACACUGAGGCACGAAGGCCAGGGGAGCAAACGGGAUUAGAUACCCCGGUAGUCCUGGCAGUAAACGGUGCACGUUUGGUGUGGGAGGAUUCGACCCCUUCUGCGCCGGAGCUAACGCGUUAAACGUGCCGCCUGGGGAGUACGGUCGCAAGAUUAAAACUCAAAGAAAUUGACGGGGGCCCGCACAAGCGGUGGAGUAUGUGGCUUAAUUCGAUGCAACGCGAAGAACCUUACCUGGCCUUGACAUGCAUCUCUAAGUUGGUGAAAGCCAGCGAGUCCCGAAAGGGACAAUUUGCACAGGUGCUGCAUGGCUGUCGUCAGCUCGUGUCGUGAGAUGUUGGGUUAAGUCCCGCAACGAGCGCAACCCCUGUGAACUGUUGCCACUCCCUUGAUUGGGAAGCACUCUGUUCAGACUGCCCUGUGAAACGGGGAGGAAGGUGGGGACGACGUCAAGUCAGUAUGGCCCUUACGGCCAGGGCUGCACACGUACUACAAUGCCCAGUACAGAACGAUCCGAGACCGCAAGGUGGAGGAAAUCCAGUAAAACUGGGCUCAGUUCGGAUUGAGGUCUGCAACUCGACCUCAUGAAGCCGGAAUCGCUAGUAAUGGCGUAUCAGCUACGACGCCGUGAAUACGUUCCCGGGCCUUGUACACACCGCCCGUCACAUCAUGGAAGUCACUUGUAGCCGAAGUCGGUGCGCUAACCAGCAAUGGAAGCAGCCGCCUACGCUAUGAGUGGUAACUGGGAUGAAGUCGUAACAAGGUAGCCG